AUUGAACGCUGGCGGCAGGCUUAACACAUGCAAGUCGAGCGGAGAGAGGUAGCUUGCUACUGAUCUUAGCGGCGGACGGGUGAGUAAUGCUUAGGAAUCUGCCUAUUAGUGGGGGACAACAUUUCGAAAGGAAUGCUAAUACCGCAUACGUCCUACGGGAGAAAGCAGGGGAUCUGCGGACCUUGCGCUAAUAGAUGAGCCUAAGUCGGAUUAGCUAGUUGGUGGGGUAAAGGCCUACCAAGGCGACGAUCUGUAGCGGGUCUGAGAGGAUGAUCCGCCACACUGGGACUGAGACACGGCCCAGACUCCUACGGGAGGCAGCAGUGGGGAAUAUUGGACAAUGGGCGCAAGCCUGAUCCAGCCAUGCCGCGUGUGUGAAGAAGGCCUUAUGGUUGUAAAGCACUUUAAGCGAGGAGGAGGCUACUUUAGAUAAUACCUAGAGAUAGUGGACGUUACUCGCAGAAUAAGCACCGGCUAACUCUGUGCCAGCCGCCGCUGUAA
RNAcentral lists this ribosomal RNA (501 nucleotides) under uncultured bacterium. RNAcentral describes it as "partial 16S ribosomal RNA". It matches the Rfam family "Bacterial small subunit ribosomal RNA", at positions 30 to 523 of the family's 1533-position model. The record is from RNAcentral.